UACAGAGGGUGCAAGCGUUAAUCGGACUUACUGGGCGUAAAGGGCGCGUAGGCGGAUGCGUAAGUCAGAUGUGAAAGGCCAUGGCUUAACCAUGGAAUGUCAUUUGAGACUGCGCGUCUAGAGUCGAAGAGAGGGAAGCGGAAUUUCCGGUGUAGCGGUGAAAUGCGUAGAGAUGUGGAGGAACACCGAUGGCGAAGGCAGCCCCCUGGGUCAAGAUUGACGCUCAUGCACGAAAGCGUGGGGAGCAAACAGG
Molecule: ribosomal RNA, 253 nt
Filed under: uncultured bacterium
Lineage: Bacteria
Description: partial 16S ribosomal RNA
Rfam family: Bacterial small subunit ribosomal RNA
Source: RNAcentral